RNAcentral lists this ribosomal RNA (253 nucleotides) under uncultured bacterium. RNAcentral's name for it is "partial 16S ribosomal RNA". It matches the Rfam family "Bacterial small subunit ribosomal RNA", at positions 524 to 776 of the family's 1533-position model. The record is from RNAcentral.
UACGUAGGGGGCGAGCGUUGUCCGGAUUUAUUGGGCGUAAAGAGCGUGUAGGCGGCUUGGUAGGUCUGCUGUAAAAACUCGGGGCUCAACCCCGAGACGUCGGUGGAAACCACCUGGCUAGAGUCCGGAAGAGGCGAGUGGAAUUCCUGGUGUAGCGGUGAAAUGCGCAGAUAUCAGGAGGAACACCAAUGGCGAAGGCAGCUCGCUGGGACGGUACUGACGCUGAGGCGCGAAAGCGUGGGGAGCAAACAGG